GAUGAACGCUGGCGGCGUGCCUAAUACAUGCAAGUCGAGCGAACGGACGAGAAGCUUGCUUCUCUGAUGUUAGCGGCGGACGGGUGAGUAACACGUGGAUAACCUACCUAUAAGACUGGGAUAACUUCGGGAAACCGGAGCUAAUACCGGAUGAUAUUUUGAACCGCAUGGUUCAAAAGUGAAAGACGGUCUUGCUGUCACUUAUAGAUGGAUCCGCGCUGCAUUAGCUAGUUGGUAAGGUAACGGCUUACCAAGGCAACGAUGCAUAGCCGACCUGAGAGGGGGAACGGCCACACUGGAACUGGGACACGGUCCAGACUCCUAGGGGAGGCAGCAGUAGGGAAUCUUCCGAAAUGGGCGAAAGCCUGACGGGGCAACGCCGGGGGAGUGAUGAAGGUCUUCGGACCGUAAAACUCUGUUAUUAGGGAAGAAAAUAUGUGUAAGUAACUGUGCACAUCUUGACGGUACCUAAUCAGAAAGCCCCGGCUAACUACG
This 495-nucleotide ribosomal RNA is filed under the name uncultured bacterium. Its description in RNAcentral is "partial 16S ribosomal RNA". It matches the Rfam family "Bacterial small subunit ribosomal RNA", at positions 28 to 505 of the family's 1533-position model. The record is from RNAcentral.